This 425-nucleotide ribosomal RNA is filed under the name uncultured bacterium. RNAcentral's name for it is "bacterial SSU rRNA". It matches the Rfam family "Bacterial small subunit ribosomal RNA", at positions 354 to 796 of the family's 1533-position model. The record is from RNAcentral.
GUUGGGAAUAUUGGACAAUGGGGGAAACCCUGAUCCAGCAAUGCCGCGUGGGUGAUGAAGGCCUUCGGGUUGUAAAGCCCUUUUGGCGGGGACGAUGAUGACGGUACCCGCAGAAUAAGCCCCGGCUAACUUCGUGCCAGCAGCCGCGGUAAUACGAAGGGGGCUAGCGUUGUUCGGAAUUACUGGGCGUAAAGGGCGCGUAGGCGGCUGUGCAAGUCAGGUGUGAAAGCCCUGGGCUCAACCCAGGAUGUGCACUUGAUACUGCACGGCUAGAGUGUCGGAGAGGAUGGUGGAAUUCCCAGUGUAGAGGUGAAAUUCGUAGAUAUUGGGAAGAACACCGGUGGCGAAGGCGACCAUCUGGACGACAACUGACGCUGAGGCGCGAAAGCGUGGGGAGCAAACAGGAUUAGAAACCCUAGUAGUCC